RNAcentral lists this long non-coding RNA (711 nucleotides) under Vigna radiata. RNAcentral's name for it is "long non-coding RNA (VRAD_LNC011506)". Lineage: Eukaryota; Viridiplantae; Streptophyta; Magnoliopsida; Fabales; Fabaceae. The record is from RNAcentral.
UUAAAUUAAAUUUUUUAAAUAUCUUAAAUGAUAAAUAGACUUAUAAAGUGAUUUAACUUAUUAAAAAAUCUGAUACAUUUAGGUUUUCACUUGCGUACUCUUGAACUCUUCAACCCUUCUCACUCAACCAAAUCGUCCUCCACGAACUCACAAUCUGACAUUCCAACAAUGGCAGCAUGCACCGAUGACAUGUUCCAUCGUUAUAAACCGCGACAACGUUCAACCUCCAACAACAACAUCGUUCUAGCAUCCACCUUUGCAAUGACAUUCCAACCUUCUUCCGGCGACAUUCUGAUGGCAGCAACAACGUUUUAGUGGCGUCCUGACAAUGGUGGUAAUGUCUAGGUUUAAGAUGUCUACGGAGCUGAAGAAUUUCUUUUCUGGAAAAGAUGUGAGGGGUGUUAAACCUUGGGUUUUGGUUCUGUAAAUUAUCGUAUGAUGAAUAUGAAUGGUUUUUUUUGUGAUGAACAUGGUUUUUGUUUUAUGUGGUAUUGGUGAUUAUGUUAUGAGUAUACUUUGAAUUUUUGGGCCAGGUAUAUAAUUCUGUUUUGUAGGGCUUAAUUCAAUUAAAAGAGGAGCAAGGCCAGGUAUGUACUUCAUCUUUUAGAGUAUGAACUUCAUUUUUUUCUGUUUUGGGGUAGGUAUAUAAUUAUGUUCCUUAAUGCCUAUUAAUUUAUCAAAUAUAUGUGGAAAUUUACUUCGACAUCGAAA